This 3021-nucleotide long non-coding RNA is filed under the name Vigna radiata. RNAcentral describes it as "long non-coding RNA (VRAD_LNC009194)". Lineage: Eukaryota; Viridiplantae; Streptophyta; Magnoliopsida; Fabales; Fabaceae. The record is from RNAcentral.
UAAUAAUAAGAGUGUGGGCUAAGCCCAAAUACAAAUGAACAUGUAAAUGAAAUAAACACAAUAUCUAACACUCCCCCUCAAGCUGGAGCAUAUAAAUCAUAUGUUCCAAGCUUGUUACAAAGAUAGUCAAUUCUAGGUCCUCGCAAGGACUUAGUGAAUAUGUCUGCCAAGUGGUUGCUUGAGUUAACAAACUCAGUCUUGAUAUCUCCAGAUAUGAUUUUUUCUCUAAUAAAAUGGCAAUCAACUUCAAUGUGUUUGGUUCUUUCAUGGAAGACAGGAUUAGAGCUAAUAUGAAGAGCAGCUUGAUUAUCACAUAUAAGUGUCAUGUGAGUGAUAUCUCCAAAUUUCAAUUCACUCAGUAAUUGUUUAAGCCACACAAGCUCACAAGUAGCUGAUGCCAUAGCUCUAUACUCUGCUUCUGCACUGGAUCUAGCCACAACACUUUGCUUCUUACUUUUCCAAGAUAUCAGGUUGCCACCAAUAGANACACAAUAUCCAGAAGUAGACCUCCUAUCAGAAGGGGAACCAGCCCAAUCAGCAUCUGAAUAGCACACGAUUUUUGUAUCGUUGUUAGGACCAUAUAGCAAACNUUUUCCAGGUGAUCCUUUAAUAUACUUCAGUAUGCGAACCACUGCAUCCCAAUGGUCUUCACAUGGAGAGUUAAGGAAUUGACUCACCACACUAACUGCAAAGGAAAUGUCAGGACGCGUAACAGUAAGAUAGUUUAAUUUACCAACUAAUCUUCUGUAACGUUCAGGAUCUGAGAAAGGCUCCCCCUGAUUUGGUAGGAGCUUGAUGUUAGGAUCCAUAGGUGUCUCAACAGACUUACAGUUCAUUAACCCUGUUUCCUCCAAGAUGUCUAACGCAUACUUNCUCUGAGAUAUGACAAUACCAUCAUUGGAUUGUGCUACUUCAAUACCCAAAAAGUACCGGAGUUUGCCAAGAUCUUUGGUUUGAAAAUGGUGACAAAGGUGCUGUUUCAUCUGAGAGAUACCAAGGUAGUCGCUUCCUGUGAGAAUAAUGUCAUCGACAUACACUAUUAANUANAUACAUCCAGNACUUGANUGGCNAUAGAACACUGAAUGAUCCGCUUCACUGCGAGACAUACCAAAUUGUUGAACAACACUGCUGAAUUUACCAAACUAGGCCCGAGGAGACUGUUUUAGGCCAUAUAGGGAUUUGCGAAGACGACAUACCAAUCCAGAUGACUCCCCCUGAGCAACAAAGCCAGGCGGUUGCUCCAUGUAAAUUUCUUCCUGCAAAUCACCAUUAAGGAAAGCAUUUUUGACAUCAAGUUGGUAAAGAGGCCAUUGUCGAAGAGCGGCCAUGGCAAUGAAAAGGCGAACAAAGGUCACUUUCGCCACUGGAGAAAAAGUAUCACCAUAAUCCAAACCAAAAAUUUGUGUGUAUCCUUUGGCAACCAGUCGAGCCUUCAAACGAUCAAUUGUACCAUCAGGNCCAACCUUGAUAGCAUACACCCACCUGCAACCAACAACAGACUUUCCAGAUGGUAAUUGGACAAGCUCCCAAGUUCCACUUUUCUGUAAAGCACUUAAUUCAUCCAGCAUGGCUUGACGCCAACCAGGAUGAGUUAAGGCAUCACCCACAGACUUGGGAAUGGACACAGAAGAAAUGGAUGAGAGACAUGUGUAAAAAGAUGGAGAUAAUCAGAGGUAACUAAGAACAGUAUAAUUGGGGGAAGGGUUACGAGUAGAGCGUAUACCUUUACGGAGGGCAAUAGGCAGGUCAGACUCAUUUGCUGGAGCCGGAGGAGACACAAGAGGCGGCACAGGAGGUGAGUCAUGUGGGAGACGAUUGCGGCGACUAUAAACUUGAAGGGGUGGAGUUGAAGGACAAUCCUGUGGGGAAUGAGAGUCUAAAGGAUCACAGACAAUAGGAAUAUCAACAGUAGGAGGUGGAGGUACAGAACUAUAAUAUAGAUGAGAAAAGUAAAACGAAGAUUCAUCAAAGGUGACAUCAGCGGAGAUGAAAUGACGAUUGAGGGAAGGGGAAAAAGACUUAUAGCCCUUUUGUGACCGUGGAAAUCCUAAGAAGACACAUUUGUGAGAUCUAGGAGAUAACUUAUCAAGACCAGGACUAAAAUCAUGAACAAAACAUGUAGACCCAAAAACUCUAAGAGGUAAUGGAUGUAAAGGGUCUUGAGGGAAUAAGACGGAAUGAGGGAUUUUGUUAUCUAGGACAGAAGACGGCAUGCGGUUUAUGAGAUAACAUGCAGUAAGAACUGCAUCACCCCAAAAACGCGAGGGUACUUGGCCAUGGAUUAGAAGUGUACGAGUUGUUUCAAUAAGGUGUCUAUUCUUGCGCUCAGCCACCCCAUUUUGUUGAGGAGUAUAAGCACAUGAGGUCUGGUGAAGAAUGCCAUGAGAAGCCAUAAAAUGUUUAAAUGGUGAAGAAAGGUAUUCACGGCCAUUAUCACUGCGUAAAGUUCGAAUAGAAACCCCAAACUGUGUUUUUAUUUCAUUGAAAAAUGAUUGGAAAAUAGAAAACAACUCAGAACGAUUCUUCAUUAAAAACAACCAAGUACAUCUUGAAUAGUCAUCAAUAAAAGUAACAAAAUACUGAAAGUCUAAAGUGGACUUAACACGACUAGGACCCCAAAUAUCAGAAUGGACUAAUGAAAAAGGAGACGAUGCUCUUUGUGACACACUACGAGGAAAGGAACUACGGGUAUGCUUUCCUAACUGACAAGACUCACACGACAAACUUGAUAACUUCGACAAACUCGGAACAAGUUGCUGUAGUUUGGCAAGGCUGGGAUGACCGAACUGAGCAUGAAGAAGGGAUGGUGACUCCAUGAUUAUGCCAGCAUGUGGAGAAGGGCGUAGAAGAUAGAGGUCAUGAGACUCACAUCCUGUGCCAAUCAUGUGUUUCGAACUCCGGUCCUGCAAAUAAACANAAUCUUUGGUAAAUGAAAUAACACAAUUAAGGGAAUGAGUUAGACGACUUAUGGACAAUAAAUUGAAAGGAGAUCCAGGGACAUAGAGUACAUGAUCAAUNNNN